Camellia sinensis is the source of this 699-nucleotide non-coding RNA. The record is from RefSeq and is a predicted model, not a curated record. Lineage: Eukaryota; Viridiplantae; Streptophyta; Magnoliopsida; Ericales; Theaceae.
UCUGCCUUCCAACCUCUCUCUCUCUCUCUCUCUCUCUCUUAAAACCUGUAUUGUGACAUCCAACCGUUUCUCAUUCAUAUCAUCUCCCUCACUUUAUUCUCUCCCUCUCACUUCUUUUUUUAAACCAUCUCUUUGCUCAUUCUUUUUCUAUACCCAAAAAUCCAUUUCUCUUCUUCACAAUCCUCAGGUUUGAUUAGGUAUAUAGAUAUGGUGAUGAUGAGUUUGGAAAGGUUGGUGGUGAACCUCAAGUCAAAACUGAGGUCUCUGAAAUUGAAGAAACCAGAUUAUGACAAGAUCGAGAAGAGCGAGAGCAUGAGAGUCGAGAUUAGGAGCAGGAAGGCUCGCAAGCUCGUCGAAGAAACUCUCAAAAUUGCUGACUCUCCUAAGAGCAGAACUUAUGCUUUCUGAAUAAACAAAUAAAAAUUUGUGAAACCAUACUGUUCUUCUCUCCUACGACGUCCACCAUAUGCAUGGUGUUCCUUAGUUGAUAAAGAGUUUUAUCUUUUUAGUUGUCACUACUCUCUCUCUCUCUCUCUCUCUCUGAGUAUUAUAUCAACAACAUAUGGUGUAUAUUUUACCAGAAAUAUGGUCACUGUAGAAGUAGAAGAGAUAAUAUAUAAGCAUUAGAAAAAAGGGAUGCAUAUACUUUUUAAUUGCAUAUAAAGAAUAUCUAUAUGACUAUUAAUUUGUGUUUGUGUU